CCAGAGGGCCGGGCGGCCGCGUCACGCGCAAGCGUGCCGAGGAAAGUCCGGGCUCCACGGAACGACGGUGGCGGGUAACGCCCGCCGGCUUCGGCCUUGCGGUUGAGGUCAGGGACAGUGCAACAGAGAGCAGACGGCCUGGGCUUCGGCCCGGUCAAGGUGAAAGGGUGCGGUAAGAGCGCACCGCGCGGCCGGUAACGGUCGUGGCACGGUAAACCCCACCGGGAGCAAGACCGAAUAGGGGCGGCAUGGGUGUCUUCGGGCAUCCGGGGUGUGUUUCCACUCGCUGCCCGGGUUGGUUGCUUGAGCGUGUCGGUAACGGCACGCCUAGAGGAAUGGUCGCCUAUCCUCCGUAACGGAGGUGGACAGAACCCGGCUUACAGGCCCUCUGGCAAA
RNAcentral lists this RNase P RNA (396 nucleotides) under Sphingomonas sp. Leaf231. RNAcentral's name for it is "Bacterial RNase P class A". It matches the Rfam family "Bacterial RNase P class A". Rfam says of the family: Ribonuclease P (RNase P) is a ubiquitous endoribonuclease, found in archaea, bacteria and eukarya as well as chloroplasts and mitochondria. Its best characterised activity is the generation of mature 5'-ends of tRNAs by cleaving the 5'-leader elements of precursor-tRNAs. The record is from Rfam by way of RNAcentral. Lineage: Bacteria; Pseudomonadati; Pseudomonadota; Alphaproteobacteria; Sphingomonadales; Sphingomonadaceae.